Molecule: non-coding RNA, 2325 nt
Organism: Ictidomys tridecemlineatus (thirteen-lined ground squirrel)
Lineage: Eukaryota; Metazoa; Chordata; Mammalia; Rodentia; Sciuridae
Source: RefSeq, a predicted model, not a curated record
AUCAGUUUUCAAAGAUUCCAUUUAUCUGAUCUUCCAGCACCAGCAAAAAACGUGUCCAAGAGACUCCGCCAAAAAGAUGAAGAACUCAGGAAGAGCCCGAUACUGAUUGCACACCAAACACCUGCCGUGCGAAAUAUCAGCAUAUCUGCAAUAUUAUUUCCUUCAGAAGCCUGGAACCCCUCCAAGUCAUUGAUGAGACCUGCACUCAACUUCUAAACUCCUGUUGGUGUUGAUAUUUUCACCUCCCCCGAUGAAUUAGGAAUGCUCUCAAUGGCGUGUGGAAUAAAGAAUCCUUUCAGGAUGAUUUUCAAAUGAUUUUACUCCGGCCCAUCAGACAAAUCAUUUUGAAAACUAUAGCCUUAUGAAGUGUACUUAUUAAAUAAUCAGACUUGAGAGUCAGACUUAGUCCUUGAUCCAUGAACUAUAGAAUUGAUGUUUUAUUAGCAAGCAUGAAAACAUUAAUCUCAUUGUACAUUUUCAUCAGAGCUCUUGGGUGACCAGGUGCAUUUUUAAUGAGCAAUAAUAUUUUGAAUAUUUUUUUCCCUGAGCAUUAUGUCUCAAUAGGAGGCUUACAUUUUUCAGUAAGCUAUGUAGUAAACAGAUGUACCCUCAUCCAGGCUUUGUUGUUCCAUUUAUAAACCACAGAAAGAGUAGAUUUAACAUGAUGCUUAAGGGACGCAGCAUUUUCAGAAUGAUAAAAUCAUCAUUGACUGACUUAAAGUCACCAGCUGCAUCAGCCCCUAAAAAGAGAGUCAGCCUGUCCUUCGAAUAUCUGAAGCCAGGCAUGAGUUCUCCCUAGUGAUGAAAGUCCUAGAUGGUAUCUUAUUCCAAUACGAAGCUGCUUCACCUACGUUAAAAAUCUGUUGUUUGGGGUAGACAAUUGGAUCAAUUAUUGUGGCCAGAUUUUUCUGGAUUAUUUGCUGCCACUUGUACAUCAGCACUUGUAUUUUCACUUUACACUUUCACGUUAGAAAACCAGUUGUUUUUCUGAAACCUCCGGAAUUAAUCUUUGUUAAACUUUUCUUCUGCAAAUUUUCUCAUUCUCUUUCAGUCUUUAGAGAAUUGAAGGAAGUUAGAGCAUUAACUCUGGAUUAGAAUUUGGUUUAAAGAAAAGUUAUGGUUUAUCACUAGGCUGCCAGCACCUUGUCAGGGGUCCUUUUUUCCUGCCCAGGAGGGUAUAAGCCCCCAGAGAAGGUAAGUCAGAAAUAACUAGUGAAGAACAAAAGACAAGAGUCAAAAUGAUAGUUUGAAAGGAUGCAGUGCCUGAUAGGUUCAGCCCACACAGGAGCUGGAGCUGGACAAUCAGGAAAAUGGCUCCAUUUGUUUCUUUAGAGGGGGAGCAUCAAAGGCAGGAGUAAGGUUUCAGGGGUGGAGUCUUGCUUCCUGAUGUCUUGCAGUCAACAGGUUGGUGGGCAUCUCGGCAGGUUCUACCCAUCUCUGAGAGGCUGUGUGGCUGCAGCAGGUCACUCCAUCUACCAUGCUGUGUGGGACCAGGCAGAGCUUGAAUAGGGCUCACAUGUGUCUGGGUGGUCUUGGCCAGAGGAAAUGUCCACUGGAAGUUCCCAGGCAUCAGAUCCUCCUAUUCACUGGCUACAAUGCCCUUUUUUUGUUCAUACAUAGCCCACAGAUGGCUUGACAGUUUCAUCUCCUAUUUGGACUACUAAAACUUUCUCCAUACCAGCAGUAAUAAUAACUACUUUCUAAUUAUUUGUGUGUUCACUGGAGUUGCACUUUUGAGUUUCCUUCAAGAAGUUUUUCCAUGACAUUCAAAACUUAACUGGUUAGUGCAAGAGGCCCAGUUUUAAGUCUACAUUGGCUUUUGGCAUGCAAUUCUCAUGAAGCUUCAUAAUUUCUAGCAUUUUAUUUGAAGCAAGAAAGAUGAAAAUCUUCCUAUUACUUGAACACUCAGUGGUCAUUGUAGGCUUGAUUGCUAAUUGGCUAAAUUUUAAUAUGGUUGUUUCUCAGGGAUAGGGAGGCCUUAGGAUAGGGAAAUAGGUGAGAGAAAAAACAAGUGAGUGGAGCAGUCCAAAUGCACACUGUAUUCCUCGGUUUUAUAUGGAUGGAGUUUGCAGCUACCCAAAAUAGUGGUGAUAGUAAAAUAAAAAAAAUCACUGGUUAUAGAAGAUCCUGACAAUUAUAUUAUUAAUGAAAAAACUUGAAAUAUUAUGUUAAUUACUAAAAUGUAACUCAGAGUUAUGAAGCAAGCACAUGCUAUUAGAAAAAAAUGACACUCAUAUAUCUGCUCCAUGCUGGGUUGGCAUGGAUCUUCCAUUUGUAAAACAUGCAAUAUCUGUGAAGUGCAAUAAAAUGAGGAAUUUCUAUAUA